UCCUACGGGAGGCAGCAGUGGGGAAUUUUGGGCAAUGGGGGCAACCCUGAUCCAGCCAUCCCGCGUGUGGGAUGAAGGCCUUCGGGUUGUAAAGCACUUUUGUCAGGGAAGAAACAGC
Molecule: ribosomal RNA, 118 nt
Filed under: uncultured bacterium
Lineage: Bacteria
Description: partial 16S ribosomal RNA
Rfam family: Bacterial small subunit ribosomal RNA
Source: RNAcentral